RNAcentral lists this ribosomal RNA (253 nucleotides) under uncultured bacterium. RNAcentral's name for it is "partial 16S ribosomal RNA". It matches the Rfam family "Bacterial small subunit ribosomal RNA", at positions 524 to 776 of the family's 1533-position model. The record is from RNAcentral.
UACGAAGGUCCCAAGCGUUAUCCGGAUUUAUUGGGUUUAAAGGGUGCGUAGGCGGGCUAUUAAGUCAGUGGUGAAAGCCCCCGGCCUAACCGGGGAACUGCCAUUGAUACUGAUGGUCUUGAGUACAGACGAGGUGGGCGGAAUUUAUGGUGUAGCGGUGAAAUGCAUAGAUACCAUAAAGAACACCGAUUGCGAAGGCAGCUUACUUGGCUGUAACUGACGCUGAGGCACGAAAGCGUGGGGAGCAAACAGG